Molecule: ribosomal RNA, 392 nt
Filed under: uncultured bacterium
Lineage: Bacteria
Description: bacterial SSU rRNA
Rfam family: Bacterial small subunit ribosomal RNA
Source: RNAcentral
GACGAACGCUGGCGGCGUGCUUAACACAUGCAAGUCGAGCGGUAAGGCCCUUUCGGGGGUACACGAGCGGCGAACGGGUGAGUAACACGUGGGUGACCUGCCUUUAGCUCUGGGAUAAGCCUGGGAAACUGGGUCUAAUACCGGAUAUGACCCUAUGGCGCAUGUUGUGGGGUGGAAAGCCUUGUGCGGCUAGGGAUGGGCCCGCGGCCUAUCAGCUUGUUGGUGGGGUGAUGGCCUACCAAGGCGACGACGGGUAGCCGGCCUGAGAGGGCGACCGGCCACACUGGGACUGAGACACGGCCCAGACUCCUACGGGAGGCAGCAGUGGGGAAUCUUGCGCAAUGGGCGAAAGCCUGACGCAGCGACGCCGCGUGAGGGAUGACGGCCUCGGU